Molecule: RNA transcript, 4426 nt
Organism: Balaenoptera acutorostrata (minke whale)
Lineage: Eukaryota; Metazoa; Chordata; Mammalia; Artiodactyla; Balaenopteridae
Gene: STRBP
Gene name: spermatid perinuclear RNA binding protein
Exons: 19
Source: RefSeq, a predicted model, not a curated record
GCCGCCGCCGCCGAAGGGGAGACCGGAGCCGCUAGCGCCACCAGGGCAGCAACCGCCGCAGCCGCCGCCGCUGGGCUGAGGAGUCGGAGACGCAGGCGGACGAGGUGGCGGCGGCGGCGGAGCGGGAGCGGGGACCGGGCGCGGGCAGAGCGCGGCGGCGCGGGUGUAUUCUAGAGAACAAUUCUUCAAACACCUUUGCCAUAUUGACUCUGAGCUGUCAGGGGACUCAGGCUUAUGAGGAGGUACUGUCACAGAAAACAGUGUCUAGUGAAGACGACAAGAAAGAGGGAAAAGGAUCGGAAGAAGAAGCUAAAAUACUGUAGAAAACCAUGAGAUCUAUUAGAUCUUUUGCCAAUGAUGAUCGCCAUGUUAUGGUGAAACAUUCAACAAUUUAUCCAUCUCCGGAGGAACUUGAAGCUGUUCAGAAUAUGGUGUCUACUGUUGAGUGUGCUCUUAAACAUGUCUCAGAUUGGCUGGAUGAAACAAAUAAAGGCACAAAAGCAGAGGGUGAGACAGAAGUGAAGAAGGAUGAGGCUGUAGACUCCUAUUCCAAGGAUCAAGGUGGUCGGACAUUAUGUGGUGUAAUGAGGAUUGGCCUGGUUGCAAAAGGCUUGCUGAUUAAAGAUGAUAUGGACUUGGAGCUGGUUUUAAUGUGCAAAGACAAACCCACAGAGACCCUGUUAAAUACAGUCAAAGAUAAUCUUCCUAUUCAGAUUCAGAAACUCACAGAAGAGAAAUACCAAGUGGAACAAUGUGUAGAUGAGGCAUCUAUUAUAAUUCGGAAUACAAAAGAACCCACGCUAACUUUGAAGGUGAUACUUACUUCCCCUCUAAUUAGGGACGAAUUGGAGAAGAAGGACGGAGAAAAGGUUGCGAUGAAAGAUCCUCCGGACUUAUUGGACAGGCAGAAAUGCCUGAACGCCUUGGCGUCUCUUCGACAUGCCAAAUGGUUUCAGGCAAGGGCAAAUGGAUUAAAAUCAUGCGUAAUUGUCCUCCGAAUACUGCGUGAUUUGUGCAACAGAGUCCCCACAUGGGCACCAUUAAAAGGAUGGCCACUAGAGCUUAUAUGUGAAAAGUCUAUAGGUACUUGUAAUAGACCUUUGGGCGCUGGGGAGGCCUUGAGACGAGUAAUGGAGUGUUUGGCAUCUGGAAUUCUACUUCCUGGGGGUCCUGGUCUUCAUGAUCCUUGUGAGAGGGACCCAACAGAUGCUCUGAGCUAUAUGACCAUCCAACAAAAAGAGGAUAUUACCCACAGUGCACAGCAUGCACUCAGACUAUCAGCCUUUGGCCAGAUUUAUAAAGUGCUGGAAAUGGACCCCCUUCCAUCUAGUAAGCCUUUUCAGAAAUAUUCCUGGUCAGUUACUGAUAAAGAAGGUGCUGGGUCUUCAGCUCUGAAGAGGCCAUUUGAAGAUGGAUUAGGGGAUGAUAAAGAUCCCAAUAAGAAGAUGAAACGAAACUUAAGGAAAAUUCUGGAUAGCAAAGCAAUAGACCUUAUGAAUGCACUAAUGAGGCUAAAUCAGAUCAGGCCUGGGCUUCAAUAUAAGCUCUUAUCUCAGUCUGGCCCUGUCCAUGCCCCAGUCUUCACAAUGUCUGUAGAUGUGGAUGGUACAACAUAUGAAGCCUCAGGACCAUCCAAGAAAACAGCAAAACUUCACGUAGCAGUGAAGGUACUGCAGGCAAUGGGAUACCCAACGGGCUUUGAUGCAGAUAUUGAAUGUAUGAGUUCCGAUGAAAAGUCAGAUAAUGAAGGCAAAAAUGAAACAGUGUCUUCAAACUCAAGCAAUAAUACUGGAAAUUCUACAACUGAAACCUCCAGUACCUUAGAGGUAAGAACUCAGGGCCCUAUCCUCACAGCAAGUGGCAAAAAUCCUGUAAUGGAGCUCAAUGAAAAAAGAAGAGGUCUUAAGUAUGAACUCAUCUCGGAGACUGGUGGAAGCCAUGACAAACGCUUUGUAAUGGAGGUAGAAGUAGAUGGACAGAAAUUCAGAGGUGCAGGUCCAAAUAAGAAAGUGGCAAAGGCAAGUGCAGCUUUAGCUGCCCUGGAGAAGCUGUUUUCUGGACCCAAUGCAGCAAAUAAUAAGAAAAAGAAGAUUAUCCCUCAGGCAAAGGGUGUUGUGAAUACAGCUGUGUCCGCAGCAGUCCAAGCUGUUCGGGGCAGAGGAAGAGGAACUCUAACAAGGGGAGCUUUUGUUGGGGCCACAGCUGCUCCUAGCUACAUAGCUCCAGGCUAUGGAACACCAUAUGGUUACAGCACAGCUGCCCCUGCCUAUGGUUAAUACUUUUAAGCAGUUUUCAGCACGUUUAUCUCACUUUAUUCUCGUUCUCCUUGGACCUUCGUAGCCAUAUCACUUGUAUAAAAUAGGCUGAGAUAUAGUGACUGUAAGCUGUGGUCUCAGUAUACAAAGGUAGAAAGCAAGUUACUGUAAACCACAGAAAAGAAAGAGGAGACUGGGUGGCAUGCUUAGAAGGCUGUUGACUCGGAUGCUUCUCUCUUCCAGUUUGCUGCAACACCUUGGGAAAAAAAAAUCUGUACUUAACACCACUCGAGGCCUCCCUCUUGCCUGUUAAUCUUAGAAAAAAACAUACCUGUCUAUCCAUCCCUCUCUCUCUGUCCAUCUACCCAUUUAUCUAUCUGGACACAGUUGGGAAGUUGCUUUUCAGCAGAAAGAAGAAUGAGUAGAUGGUUGGUCUGAAUAAAGGGUGAGCAUCUUCCGGUCCGUCUCUGGCUCACAUGUGUCUACGUGGACCUCCGGAACCUCUGGAAAAAAGCGUACAGCGGCAUCCCUCUCUGCUGGUAGAGGUGAGCUGAGUGGGGAAUACAGAUCGAGUCCUGUGAUGCUCUAAGGUCAUAAAAACUGUGUAGACAGGAUCAGUGUUACUUUUAAAGGCAAAUAAAGUAGAUUUGCAUUAUAGUCAAGAGGCUUUUCUUCAAUCCAGGAGAUAUUUGUGUCAGUGAUAUCCUGGCAGAAGUGACCCCAUUCCUCAGCUGUAGCCCUCUGGGUGGAAUCCUUGCCUCAGUAACGAACACUGAGGGAAGGCCUCGGGGGUUCUUUUGUUUGUUUUGCCUUGAUCAGUCAGUUGUUAACACCUUAAUUACUUGGUCCUUCUAAGGAGGGUCUUAGGGUCUUUCUUGGCAGAACUCUGCUAUUUCUGCAAACAAACUAUGCUGUCUCUGCUGGUGGGUAGUGUGGAGAUUGCCACCAUCUGCCCAGGCAGUUUAAGAGUCAGAUUAGCAUAUCCUAGCUGGAGAUGUGGUCCUGAGUCAUCUUUUUGCUGCUUACGGCCCCCAGGAGGUAACGGGAUUAGCCUGCUGCAGUGAGGGCAUUCUGUUUGCGCUGCCUAGGAGCCUAGUCUCUCUCUGCUUUGUUUCAGUUUCUACCUUGAUCCUUUUGUGUGGUUUGGAAGAACAGUCUCUGCAUUCACAUGUCAGCUGAAUGUCCCAGGUAGUUAACAGUGGCCCUCAGUUUAGGUCAUUUUGGGCUGUGGGCAGCAGUGGAUGGAAGAAAGGAGAGCGGGAAGAGAGAUGCUAAAAUUGGUACCUUGUGUGUGCCAGGCACUUGGACAUUUUUCUUAUUUCUCAGCCUUCUUGAAGGUGGUAUUAUUCUUAUUUUACAGAUGAAAAAACUGAGGCUCAGAGUUAAGUGCUAGAGUCAGGAAUGAAAUCCAGCUCUGUUCAGUGCCAGAACCUUUUUCUGCUGUACCAUGCUAUGGAUUAAAAGUCUGGAAAGAAGGUGAGGAAGCAUGUCGGGGGACAGGAAGGUGGUGUGUGGGCAGUGAGGCAAGGCCGAAUGGAGCUUAAAAAGGGCCUGAACACAAGCCAGGGGCCUCACUGUCACAGGAUCUUUGGAGCUCACCGACUCAAGCCAAUCCCAGGCUCCCGUGCUAGAAUCUAGGCUUUGACUUGAGGUCAUUUUAGACCAGAUAUCCUGGGCUAAAAUAGGGCUGUUUUCUUUUAGAGCAGUUGGAAAAGAUUAACAAACUGGAAAGAUAGACUGGAGGGCUGAGGUGUGGCUGUAUAAACAGAGGAAGCUUUUGUAUUUGAAGCUUGUUUUUCUGUUUGAAUAUCAAUGAGAAAUUGAGGUGUGCGUUUUCAUUUAGCUAAUGCUUUCUGAGUACACGCUAUCUGGCCUGAGAUUGGUGAUGGGGAUGUCAUAAAAGAUUUGAGCCAGACUCUGAAGGAGAGCUGGUGAGGCUGGGCUCAUUGGGUCAAAGGAAGAGGGGUGGUCCAGGGUUGGGGUGUGAGUGCAGAGAGGUGGCCCUGGGCAAGUGUUGAGCAGAGACGGGGGUGAGGGGCAGAUAGCAGUGGCCUGUUCUGCUUGCCAGGAGUGUCCCCUGGACUCGGCUUCACGGAAGGCUGUGUGUGGUCCCCUCACCAGCUCCUCGGCAGAUUAGUGCUGGCUGGGUCUCUGCUUACGGUUAGGUGGGC